Molecule: long non-coding RNA, 743 nt
Organism: Stomoxys calcitrans (stable fly)
Lineage: Eukaryota; Metazoa; Arthropoda; Insecta; Diptera; Muscidae
Exons: 2
Source: RefSeq, a predicted model, not a curated record
UCGACCUCCCCCGGCAAACCAGAGUGGUUCUGGCUCAAUUACGUUCCGGCAGAUGCAGCCGCCUCAAUUCCCACAGAGCUAGGAUUGAUGCCGACGUGCAAGAUGUAUGUCCCGAUUGUAACCAGGGACCGCUCGAUACACGUCACCUGUUUAACUGCCCGGCCAGACCCACUCGACUCAGACCCAGAUCCCUGUGGACGCACCCCAUCUUAGUCGCGGAGUUCCUGGGUCUUGACACUCAACAGAAUCAAUCAGACGAAAGAUAGUACACAAUAAACUGCUACAACAACAACAACAACAACACUAUUAUUUCGAUAUUUAUUGUCUUUGGAUAAAAAACAAAAACUCUUAUAACAUUUUUAUUUUCCUUUCAGUUUGAUUUGACCAACGGCUCUCGCGCAUUUAUAUAACGAUUUGUCAGUCGAUGGACAAUUUAUGGUUUUAGAAAAACUGCCUCUACAUCACCACGUAUCAGAUGGCUCUCUGGGCACUACGGCUCAAUCGGGUUCUCCCAGCAAUUUGGACGGUAUUUUGGCAUAAACUUUUUGGCAUUAAACAAAUUUUGGCUGACUUCCCCCAGGCCAAUACUUUGAGGCGUCAGUAUUUUCUUCGUUUUGGUUGCGGUUAGUUUUCAAUUUGGAGAUAUAUUGUUUUGCACGCACCAAAAUAUAUGUAUAUGUAACACACAAUCAAACGCAAUCAACAAAAUAAACGUUUUGUUUAGGACUGAUAUAAAUUUUAAA